UGUUACUUGACAUUUUUCUA
RNAcentral lists this microRNA (20 nucleotides) under Anolis carolinensis (green anole). Its description in RNAcentral is "aca-miR-5392". Lineage: Eukaryota; Metazoa; Chordata; Lepidosauria; Squamata; Anolidae. The record is from miRBase by way of RNAcentral.